Albula glossodonta (roundjaw bonefish) is the source of this 72-nucleotide non-coding RNA. Lineage: Eukaryota; Metazoa; Chordata; Actinopteri; Albuliformes; Albulidae. The record is from the annotation of a GenBank genome assembly.
GGCUCGUUGGUCCAGGGGUAUGAUUCUUGCUUAGGGUGCAAGAGGUCUUGGGUUCAGCUCCUGGACGAGCCC